RNA transcript from Carassius auratus (goldfish), 3039 nucleotides. RefSeq lists it as uncharacterized. The record is from RefSeq and is a predicted model, not a curated record. Lineage: Eukaryota; Metazoa; Chordata; Actinopteri; Cypriniformes; Cyprinidae. The transcript is spliced from 11 exons.
CAUCUUCCGGUUGAACGGUGGCUGCGGUGGGACGUAACGUAAGGAGUGACAGGUGACGUAAGCAGUUUCCAGCUCUCCACGCCCUUGGCAGUAUAAAAUCAUCUUGUUCCGUCAAAGUCAGUGUAGGGAGGAGCUGAACUCGCAGCGCCGGAUGAAACUGUAUGAAGCCUUGGUGCGGGUAAAUAAGGAGAAUUUAUGUUGGUUGAGAGGUUAUAGAAUAGGAAGUGUCAAUGGUCCAUUUCAAGAUAGAUGGCGGUAAUGCACAUAUUUGUCUGCGAUCCGCCGUAAAAAAAAAAAAAGCAAGAAGAAGAAGAAAGUCAGUGUAGUGAGUCAAGAGUUGGAAUUGCGAGUAUUGAAAACAAUCAGGAGGAUAUAAUGUGUUAAGCGUCUAUUUAGCAUAGCAUUUAUAAAGUUAUUUAGAAUAUUUCGUGUAGCCUAUGUAGUAAAUUAGCAUAGUUGUUAGUGUAACGUUAGUACAUUUACAAUUAUUCAUUUAGCAGACGCUUUUAUCCAAAGCGACUAGAAGCAUAGUUAUAGUAUUGCAUCAGUUAGGAUAGCUUAGUUAGCGUAGAUUUGGCUUUAUUUAGUACAGUGGUCAGGAUGGUACGUAAGUGUAGCGUUGCUGGUUGCAACAACACUGCUGGACUGCAUAGUUUUCCAGCAGACUUGAAAAUUAGGCGCCAGUGGUUGCAUGCACUUGGCCUGGAAGACCGCGAGUUCCCGCCUAGAGCUGGAGUGUGCAAACUGCAUUUUACGCGAGAUUGCUUCUCCAACGCAAUGCAGGUGGAAAUGGGCUUCUCCUCACAGCUCAUGCUGAAAAGCGACGCAGUGCCUUACGCUAACGUUACUCCUCCUGCAAGGACUCCACGACCGCAGCGGCGCCCCGGGGCCAGCACAUCAAGUGCUUGUAUUCAGCUGCCUCUCUCAAGGGAUGUUUCCUGCCAGACAGACCCCCUGGAAACACAUACUGUAGGCACACAGCUCUCCUUAAAGACUCUGCUGCCCCACUUUAGAAGUGAAGGUGUCCAGGCAAAUGUCUCCUGCAAAGAUUUCGGUGUUGGGAUGUCCAAUGCAGACCCUUUGGGCCUGUCAUCGACACCUGUGAAGAGACCUCGUCUAGACCUCGAUGAACAGCUGGAGGACGAUGCAUUGGAGCACAGCUCUUUAGAGGAAGCUUUAAAGGGACAGGAUUCCACUCAUGAUCCCGCUUCGUUAGACUCUUCACUUAAGUCAGCAGAUUCAUCCACUCCCACCCACAACAGCAAAAAGUACAUAGUGUACGAGAGCUGCAUCAUGGAGUUGUUUAAUGUAUGUCCAGUCUGCACCCGGGCAUGUGAUGUGAGGACCCAAAGGCUGGGGACAUUCCUGUCUGUGAAGCAGUGGUGUCCCCGCUGCACAUUUACAAGACACUGGAAUAGCCAGCCUGUCAUUGGGAGCGUGCCGUCUGGAAAUCUGCACCUUUCUGCCGCCGUGUACCUGAGUGGUGCAUCUUUCAUACUAAUCGAAAAGGUCUUCAAGGCAAUGAAGCUACAGUUGUUUAGGUAUGAAACAUUUCAACGCCACGCCAGAGCUUUCAUUGAGCCGGCAGUUAUUCACCACUGGAAAGCCACACAGGAUGUGAAUCUGCAGUCACUGAGUCAGGAGGAAAAAGUGAUAGUUGGUGGUGACAUGAGAGCUGACUCUCCAGCACACUCUGCAAAGUACGGCAGUUAUGCAACGAUGGAUCUCCGUACUAACACCGUUGUGGACAUUCAGUUGGUUCAGAGCAACGAGGUUGGUGGUAGCUGCCACAUGGAAAAAGAGGGCCUGAAAAGGAGUCUAGCUUUACUGGAGUCGCGUGGCAUCAAUCUUGAUUGCAUCGUCACUGAUCGCCAUCCACAAGUACAGAAGUUCCUCAGAGAGAGAAACAUAACCCAUUACUACGAUGUCUGGCACAUGGCAAAAGGAAUUUCCAAGAAACUGGAAGCAAUCAGUAAGCAGAAAGACUGUGAGAAACUCAAGAAGUGGAUGAAAAGCAUCAUCAAUCACAUAUACUGGACUGCAGCUAGCUCAACCUCCGAACCAGAGAGAAUUGCAAAGUGGACCACGAUCCUGAACCAUGUUCGAGAUGUUCAUACACAUGAGGAUCCUCUUUACCCCAAGUGUGAGCAUGUGAUCCGCAAGACAACUGACAAGAGUAAAUGGCUCCAAGCAGUUGUCUGCAGAUACUCUAGCUUUUUACAAGUUGGAGAAGUUGCUGACAAAAAAAAGAACGCUGAAGGAUGUUGCAAAACUGAGCCCCCACCACCAAACUUCAUCUUUAGAGGCUUUCCGUGCCGUCAUCCUUCGUUUUGCCCCGAAGAAUGUUGUCUUUCCUUUUAUUGGGAUGUUGUGCAGACUAUACCUGGCUGCUAUGCAUUAUAAUGAAAAUGUGGACCGACCACUGGCCGAAACGGAGGAAGGUGUACCUCUCUUCAAAAUCUCAUUUCCGAAGUCUAGGAAGGAAGAGUGCAGAGUUAAACCUCAAAAGACACAGCCGACCUUUGGUUAUGUUGCUGACACGAUGGACCUCAUUUUUGAGAAAGUCUUUGUUAACCCUGUGCCAUACACCGAUGCGCUGUUGGCCAUCCCUGUCCCAGAGGACCUGAGUCCCUGAGUUUGAGAAGCUCGAUGAGGAGGAGGUCAUUGCCAGCUUUGUUUUCUGUGGAGGACAGUUUAAACCAGACGUAGUGGCCUUUCCUCAUCAGGAAAUUCACACAAGCUGGAAUAAUGACCCGGAUUCUGCGUCCCAGGAGUCCUCAGCACCAGCUCACAAACGAACGAUAGGAGAGAUAUCUGUAGCCACUGAACAAUUGAUAUUUAGUCUGGCAGAGAUCUAACAUUGUUUGUGUUAUUAUACAAAUAUUCCUUUGCUCCUAUGGAUCAUAUUCAAUGCUUGUUUUGUAACAUUUUUCAAGUUUUUAUUUUCUCUUGUUGUAAAUAAAUAUUGACACUGUCUACACUACUGAAUGAAAAUUAGACACAAGGUUGGUUGUUGGAAUAAACAGUCAAGACUCAAAA